This 496-nucleotide ribosomal RNA is filed under the name uncultured bacterium. RNAcentral's name for it is "partial 16S ribosomal RNA". It matches the Rfam family "Bacterial small subunit ribosomal RNA", at positions 28 to 506 of the family's 1533-position model. The record is from RNAcentral.
GACGAGCGCUGGCGGCGUGCCUAAUACAUGCAAGUUGAGCGAUGAAGAUUUGUGCUUGCACCGUUUUGAAGAGCAGCACACGGGUGUGUAACGCGUGUGGAAUCUGCCUUUGAUCGGGGUACAACAUUGGGAAACGAAUGCUUAUACCACAGAACAACUUUAAACAUAAUGUGUAAGGGUGAAAUAUGCAAUUUCAUCACUCAAAGGUGAUCCCUCGUUGUAUUAGAUAGUUGGUGAGGUAAAGGCGCACCAAGGGGAUGAUACAUAGCCGACCUGACAGGCUGAUAGGCCACAUUGGGACUGAGACACGGCCCAAGCUACUAAGGGAGGCCGCAGUAGGGAAUCUUUGGCAAUGGACGAAAGUCUGACCGAGCAACGGCGCGCGAGUGAAGACGGUUUUCGGAUCGUAAAACUCUGUUGGUAGAGAAGAACGUUGGUGAGCGUGGAAAGAGCAUCAAGUGACGGUAACUAUACAGAAAGGGACGGCUAAUUACGU